GGUUAAGCGACUAAGCGUACACGGUGGAUGCCCUGGCAGUCAGAGGCGAUGAAGGACGUGCUAAUCUGCGAAAAGCGUCGGUAAGGUGAUAUGAACCGUUAUAACCGGCGAUGUCCGAAUGGGGAAACCCAGUGUGAUUCGUCACACUAUCGUUAACUGAAUACAUAGGUUAACGAGGCGAACCGGGGGAACUGAAACAUCUAAGUACCCCGAGGAAAAGAAAUCAACCGAGAUUCCCCCAGUAGCGGCGAGCGAACGGGGAGCAGCCCAGAGUCUGAAUCAGCUUGUGUGUUAGUGGAACGGUCUGGAAAGUCCGACGGUACAGGGUGAUAGUCCCGUACACCAAAAUGCACAGGUUGUGAACUCGAAGAGUAGGGCGGGACACGUGGUAUCCUGUCUGAAUAUGGGGGGACCAUCCUCCAAGGCUAAAUACUCCUGACUGACCGAUAGUGAACCAGUACCGUGAGGGAAAGGCGAAAAGAACCCCGGCGAGGGGAGUGAAAAAGAACCUGAAACCGUGUACGUACAAGCAGUGGGAGCACCUUCGGGUGUGACUGCGUACCUUUUGUAUAAUGGGUCAGCGACUUAUAUUCUGUAGCAAGGUUAACCGUAUAGGGGAGCCGCAGGGAAACCGAGUCUUAACUGGGCGUUAAGUUGCAGGGUAUAGACCCGAAACCCGGUGAUCUAGCCAUGGGCAGGUUGAAGGUUGGGUAACACUAACUGGAGGACCGAACCGACUAAUGUUGAAAAAUUAGCGGAUGACUUGUGGCUGGGGGUGAAAGGCCAAUCAAACCGGGAGAUAGCUGGUUCUCCCCGAAAGCUAUUUAGGUAGCGCCUCGUGAAUUCAUCUUCGGGGGUAGAGCACUGUUUCGGCUAGGGGUCAUCCCGACUUACCAACCCGAUGCAAACUACGAAUACCGAAGAAUGUUAUCACGGGAGACACACGGCGGGUGCUAACGUCCGUCGUGAAGAGGGAAACAACCCAGACCGCCAGCUAAGGUCCCAAAGUCACAGUUAAGUGGGAAACGAUGUGGGAAGGCACAGACAGCCAGGAUGUUGGCUUAGAAGCAGCCAUCAUUUAAAGAAAGCGUAAUAGCUCACUGGUCGAGUCGGCCUGCGCGGAAGAUGUAACGGGGCUAAACUGUGCACCGAAGCUGCGGCAGCGACACUAUGUGUUGUUGGGUAGGGGAGCGUUCUGUAAGCCUGCGAAGGUGGCCUGUGAGGGUUGCUGGAGGUAUCAGAAGUGCGAAUGCUGACAUAAGUAACGAUAAUGCGGGUGAAAAGCCCGCACGCCGGAAGACCAAGGGUUCCUGUCCAACGUUAAUCGGGGCAGGGUGAGUCGACCCCUAAGGCGAGGCCGAAAGGCGUAGUCGAUGGGAAACAGGUUAAUAUUCCUGUACUUGGUGUUACUGCGAAGGGGGGACGGAGAAGGCUAUGUUAGCCGGGCGACGGUUGUCCCGGUUUAAGCAUGUAGGCGGAGGUUCCAGGUAAAUCCGGUACCUUUUAACGCUGAGGUGUGAUGACGAGGCACUACGGUGCUGAAGUAACAAAUGCCCUGCUUCCAGGAAAAGCCUCUAAGCAUCAGGUAACAUUGAAUCGUACCCCAAACCGACACAGGUGGUCAGGUAGAGAAUACCAAGGCGCUUGAGAGAACUCGGGUGAAGGAACUAGGCAAAAUGGUGCCGUAACUUCGGGAGAAGGCACGCUGAUAUGUAGGUGAAGCCCCUGCGGGUGGAGCUGAAAUCAGUCGAAGAUACCAGCUGGCUGCAACUGUUUAUUAAAAACACAGCACUGUGCAAACACGAAAGUGGACGUAUACGGUGUGACGCCUGCCCGGUGCCGGAAGGUUAAUUGAUGGGGUUAUCCGUAAGGAGAAGCUCUUGAUCGAAGCCCCGGUAAACGGCGGCCGUAACUAUAACGGUCCUAAGGUAGCGAAAUUCCUUGUCGGGUAAGUUCCGACCUGCACGAAUGGCGUAAUGAUGGCCAGGCUGUCUCCACCCGAGACUCAGUGAAAUUGAACUCGCUGUGAAGAUGCAGUGUACCCGCGGCAAGACGGAAAGACCCCGUGAACCUUUACUAUAGCUUGACACUGAACAUUGAGCCUUGAUGUGUAGGAUAGGUGGGAGGCUUUGAAGCGUGGACGCCAGUCUGCGUGGAGCCAACCUUGAAAUACCACCCUUUAAUGUUUGAUGUUCUAACGUUGGCCCCUUAUCGGGGUUGCGGACAGUGUCUGGUGGGUAGUUUGACUGGGGCGGUCUCCUCCCAAAGAGUAACGGAGGAGCACGAAGGUUAGCUAAUCCUGGUCGGACAUCAGGAGGUUAGUGCAAUGGCAUAAGCUAGCUUGACUGCGAGCGUGACGGCGCGAGCAGGUGCGAAAGCAGGUCAUAGUGAUCCGGUGGUUCUGAAUGGAAGGGCCAUCGCUCAACGGAUAAAAGGUACUCCGGGGAUAACAGGCUGAUACCGCCCAAGAGUUCAUAUCGACGGCGGUGUUUGGCACCUCGAUGUCGGCUCAUCACAUCCUGGGGCUGAAGUAGGUCCCAAGGGUAUGGCUGUUCGCCAUUUAAAGUGGUACGCGAGCUGGGUUUAGAACGUCGUGAGACAGUUCGGUCCCUAUCUGCCGUGGGCGCUGGAGAAUUGAGGGGGCUGCUCCUAGUACGAGAGGACCGGAGUGGACGCAUCACUGGUGUUCGGGUUGUCAUGCCAAUGGCAUUGCCCGGUAGCUAAAUGCGGAAGAGAUAAGUGCUGAAAGCAUCUAAGCACGAAACUUGCCCCGAGAUGAGUUCUCCCUGAGACUUUAAGUCUCCUGAAGGAACGUUAAAGACGAUGACGUUGAUAGGUCGGGUGUGUAAGCGUAGCGAUACGUUGAGCUAACCGAUACUAAUGAACCGUGAGGCUUAACCUU
RNAcentral lists this ribosomal RNA (2902 nucleotides) under Klebsiella aerogenes. RNAcentral's name for it is "23S ribosomal RNA". It matches the Rfam family "Bacterial large subunit ribosomal RNA". Lineage: Bacteria; Pseudomonadati; Pseudomonadota; Gammaproteobacteria; Enterobacterales; Enterobacteriaceae. The record is from RNAcentral.